GGAUUUUCAGCUGAAGUUCCAAAAAGCCAAAGCUGCGACUCUCCAUCUGGGUUUUUGCACUCUAUUUUCUUUUCAUGUCAUUUUUUUAUUAUUUUAUGAACAUUAUUGUCAAAUUCAUCAUGUGUGAGUAGUUUCUUUAUUUUAAAGUUAGGGAUGUAGCACUUUUGAUUCAAUUAUAAAUCUGUUUUGAUUUUAUUUAAUAUACUGGGUAUUUUGUUCUUUGAUUCAAUUUCUUAUGUUCUUAAUGCAUGCUAUAUGUUGAGCUCCGCUUAGUAUUGAUUCUAAAUAUUACUUGAAGGAUUGAAAGAUGAAUAUUAAUAUUGGAAUAACAGGUUUUUGAACUUCAAAUUCUUGAUCUAGAGAUAGACUGGAAUUCUAUAUAGAUCUAACAAUUAGUCAAAGAACUUAAUGGGUUUUAAUUUAUUUAACCGCCACAAAAAUAAGGUUUAAGUUAAUUAAAUACAACUUGAGUGCCUU
Molecule: unclassified non-coding RNA, 477 nt
Filed under: Hevea brasiliensis (rubber tree)
Lineage: Eukaryota; Viridiplantae; Streptophyta; Magnoliopsida; Malpighiales; Euphorbiaceae
Source: RNAcentral